UGGGGAAUUUUGGACAAUGGGCGCAAGCCUGAUCCAGCAAUGCCGCGUGCAGGAUGAAGGCCUUCGGGUUGUAAACUGCUUUUGUACGGAACGAAACGGCCCUCUCUAAUACGGGGGCGGUAUAGACGGUACCGUAAGAAUAAGCACCGGCUAACUACGUGCCAGCAGCCGCGGUAAUACGUAGGGUGCGAGCGUUAAUCGGAAUUACUGGGCGUAAAGCGUGCGCAGGCGGUCUUGUAAGACAGAUGUGAAAUCCCGGCUC
This 262-nucleotide ribosomal RNA is filed under the name uncultured Comamonadaceae bacterium. RNAcentral describes it as "partial 16S ribosomal RNA". It matches the Rfam family "Bacterial small subunit ribosomal RNA", at positions 355 to 608 of the family's 1533-position model. Lineage: Bacteria; Pseudomonadati; Pseudomonadota; Betaproteobacteria; Burkholderiales; Comamonadaceae. The record is from RNAcentral.